AAAAUUUAGAAAGAAACUCAAAAAGCAGCAGCCACAGAACUCUCUCUACAGUGAAAUGGCGCCGACGAGAGUCAUAGCGUCGGCUGGCAACACCGUCUCCGGUGUUUUUCUCUGCGGAGGCCAAUCGAUAGCUGCGCCUCGAAGCCUCAAUCUCUGCUUCAGAAACGGCAGAUUACUCACGCAGAGAAGGCGCCUCUUCACCUGCAAUGCCAUACACAACCCCCAAGUUCAAAUCAAGGAAGAGGGCCAGCCCGAAUCCUUCGACUACCGCGUCUUCUUCGUCGAUAAUUCCGGCAAAAAAUUUGUUUGGUGGUAUUUGACACAGAUUUCCCCCUGGCAUGAUAUUCCACUUCACUUGGGUGAUGGUGUAUUCAAUUUCAUAGUGGAGAUUCCGAAGGAAUCGAGUGCGAAGAUGGAAGUUGCGACAGAUGAAGUCUAUACUCCCAUUAAGCAAGAUACGAAGAAGGGAAAACUUCGAUACUACCCUUACAACAUUAACUGGAACUAUGGAUUGCUUCCACAAACAUGGGAAGACCCUUCACUUGCAAAUGCUGAAGUUGAGGGGGCAUUCGGAGACAAUGAUCCAGUUGAUGUCGUUGAGAUCGGGGAAAGCCAAGGAAAAAUUGGGCAAGUCAUGAAAGUGAAGCCCUUGGCUGCUUUGGCUAUGAUAGAUGAGGGAGAGCUUGACUGGAAAAUAGUUGCGAUUUCAUUGGAUGAUCCAAAGGCUUCCCUUGUUAACGAUGUUGACGACGUCGAGAAGCAUUUUCCAGGAACUCUCACUGCAAUCAGAGACUGGUUCAGAGACUACAAGAUACCUGAUGGAAAACCUGCCAACAGAUUCGGCCUUGGCAACAAGCCAGCAAAUAAGGAUUAUGCACUUAAGGUUAUUACUGAGACAAACGAGGCGUGGGCUAAACUUGUGAAAAGAUCCAUUCCCUCUGGUGAGCUAUCUCUUGUCUAAAUGAGGCUCUAACCGUUGAGCAUCCGUGCUGCCAGUUUUCAGCAUCACUGAAUAACAUGGAAAUACAUGAAUCUUUUUAUUGAAGACGAAGGAGAAAACCUGACAUGUACAUAUGAAAAAGUAGAAAACAAAGCACAUAAAUAUACACAUGGCAAUACCCACUGCCAUUUUUUGCCCCUAUAGUUGUAGUUCAGUUAUGCGUCGCCCUGUGUUGUGGUGGGCGGAGAAGAAUGGAGAUCGAUCACAGACACUUUACUGACAGGGUGUUGUUGGAAAAGAGAGUAGCUGUUUGAAAUGAGCCUUGCUAAUGAUGAUGACGAAGAAGCAGGUGCCAUCGACUUUGCUGACGGAGAGCGAGCAGAUGCCUGCGCCCGUGCACCUGCUGCUCGGUUUAACAUGAGCAUGGCUGCUGUUGGUGCCAUUGCAAAUUAUCUGCAAUAUGAGAGUUAGAGGAGAUGGUUGGUGGUUAAAUUAUUUGUGUAUGAUGAUGAUGAUGAUGAGUUGGGUUGGAUAAUAUAGAGAAGCAGUGGGGCCAGUUUCUCUAUCAUUAAUUUCUUUGGCUCGUGGUUUGCACUGCUUGUAAAAAUCCAUACCAGAAACGGCUCCCGGUUUGCUCUUGACUUAUAUAGCACACAGCAUUCUCAUGCUUA
This is an RNA transcript of Salvia hispanica, 1611 nucleotides long. It is a transcript of the gene named soluble inorganic pyrophosphatase 6, chloroplastic-like, with no coding region annotated. The record is from RefSeq and is a predicted model, not a curated record. NCBI's taxonomy places the organism in Eukaryota, Viridiplantae, Streptophyta, Magnoliopsida, Lamiales, Lamiaceae.